GACUAACGGCUGGCGGCGUGCUAACACAUGCAAGUCGAACGAGUUGUUUAUAGUAGCAAUAUUGUGAACAGCAAGUGGCGAACGGGUGAGUAACACGUAGAUAAUCUGGCCUUUCAGACGGGGGACAACUCAGGGAAACUUGUGCUAAUACCCGAUGAGACUACGAGGGGGGACUUUCGUAGCCAAAGGUGGGGGCAACCUCACGCUGAAAGAUGAGUCUGCGUCCUAUCAGCUAGUUGGUGGGGUAAAAGCCUACCAAGGCGAAGACGGGUAGCCGGCCUGAGAGGGUGAACGGCCACACUGGGACUGAGACACGGCCCAGACUCCUACGGGAGGCAGCAGUGAGGAAUUUUCCGCAAUGGGCGCAAGCCUGACGGAGCGACGCCGCGUGAGGGAUGACGGCCUUCGGGUUGUAAACCUCUUUUAUUAGGGAAAAAGACAUUUGUGCUAAUACCACGGAUGUUUGAUUGUACCUGUUGAAUAAGCCCCGGCUAACUACGUG
This 502-nucleotide ribosomal RNA is filed under the name uncultured bacterium. Its description in RNAcentral is "bacterial SSU rRNA". It matches the Rfam family "Bacterial small subunit ribosomal RNA", at positions 35 to 507 of the family's 1533-position model. The record is from RNAcentral.